Molecule: ribosomal RNA, 229 nt
Filed under: uncultured bacterium
Lineage: Bacteria
Description: partial 16S ribosomal RNA
Rfam family: Bacterial small subunit ribosomal RNA
Source: RNAcentral
UGCGUAGGCGGCGUUAUAAGUCAGAUGUGAAAGCCCACCGCUUAACGGUGGAACUGCAUUUGAUACUGUAGUGCUUGAAUCAGGCUGAGGUCAGCGGAAUGUGUCAUGUAGCGGUGAAAUGCAUAGAUAUGACAUAGAACACCAAUUGCGAAGGCAGCUGGCUAGACCUGUAUUGACGCUGAGGCACGAAAGCGUGGGGAGCAAACAGGAUUAGAUACCCUGGUAGUCC